AACGAACGCUGGCGGCAUGCCUAACACAUGCAAGUCGAACGAGACCUUCGGGUCUAGUGGCGCACGGGUGCGUAACGCGUGGGAACCUGCCCUUAGGUUCGGAAUAACUCCCCGAAAGGGGUGCUAAUACCGGAUAAUGUCUUCGGACCAAAGAUUUAUCGCCUUUGGAUGGGCCCGCGUUGGAUUAGCUAGUUGGUAGGGUAAAAGCCUACCAAGGCGACGAUCCAUAGCUGGUCUGAGAGGAUGAUCAGCCACACUGGGACUGAGACACGGCCCAGACUCCUACGGGAGGCAGCAGUGGGUAAUAUUGGACAAUGGGCGAAAGCCUGAUCCAGCAAUGUCGCGUGAGUGAUGAAGGCCUUAGGGUUGUAAAGCUCUUUUACCCGGGAUGAUAAUGACAGUACCGGGAGAAUAAGCUCCGGCUAACUCCGUG
Molecule: ribosomal RNA, 433 nt
Filed under: uncultured bacterium
Lineage: Bacteria
Description: partial 16S ribosomal RNA
Rfam family: Bacterial small subunit ribosomal RNA
Source: RNAcentral